This is a long non-coding RNA of Saccostrea cuccullata (small rock oyster), 336 nucleotides long. RefSeq lists it as uncharacterized. Lineage: Eukaryota; Metazoa; Mollusca; Bivalvia; Ostreida; Ostreidae. The transcript has 3 exons. The record is from RefSeq and is a predicted model, not a curated record.
AAUUUGUUUCGGAUAGUGAAUUACACAAAAAGGACAAUACAGAUCCCUCAAGGUCACUGCUGGGUGGAGGGAAAUAAUGCAAGGAUGAGUGAAGAUAGCAACAAAUUUGGACCAGAUCUAGUGGGUUUUGGAAAUGUAGUAGCUAAAGCCACACACAUUGUUUGGCCUUUGGAAAGAUGGACAAAACUUGGAUCCACCACACAAAAUUAAGGAGGCUCGAUGGUCAAGAGAGGACUUAUCACAGCCAAAGCAACACACGUGGUGUGGACCCCUCAUCGCAGGAAACGUUUGGAGUCCAUCGAAGCGCCACCUGAACGUGUCAUCAAAGAAUGCCAC